AGGAUAAAAGGUACUCCGGGGAUAACAGGCUGAUCUUACCCAAGAGCUCAUAUCGACGGUAAGGUUUGGCACCUCGAUGUCGGUUCGUCACAUCCUGGGGCUGGAGAAGGUCCCAAGGGGUCGGCUGUUCGCCGAUUAAAGUGGCACGUGAACUGGGUUCAGAACGUCGCAAGACAGUUCGGUCCCUAUCUGUGGUGGGCGUUAGUAAAUUGAGAGGACAUGACCUUAGUACGAGAGGACCGGGUCGUACGUACCGCUGGUGUAUCAGUUGUGCCGCCAGGUGCAAUGCUGAGUAGCUAAGUACGGACAGGAUAAACGCUGAAAGCAUCUAAGCGUGAAACCAACCUCAAGAUGAGUUUACUUUUAAGGGCCGUAAGAGACUAUUACGUUGAUAGGCUACAGGUGUAAAGGUGGUAACAUCAAAGCCGAGUAGUACUAAUUGCCCGUAUGCUUUAAUUUU
RNAcentral lists this ribosomal RNA (460 nucleotides) under Chitinophagaceae bacterium. RNAcentral describes it as "partial 23S ribosomal RNA". It matches the Rfam family "Bacterial large subunit ribosomal RNA", at positions 2453 to 2925 of the family's 2925-position model. The record is from RNAcentral. Lineage: Bacteria; Pseudomonadati; Bacteroidota; Chitinophagia; Chitinophagales; Chitinophagaceae.